Molecule: unclassified non-coding RNA, 335 nt
Filed under: soil metagenome
Description: partial contains 5.8S ribosomal RNA, internal transcribed spacer 2, and large subunit ribosomal RNA
Rfam family: 5.8S ribosomal RNA (bases 1-120)
Source: RNAcentral
GAUGAAGAACGCAGCGAAAUGCGAUAAGUAAUGUGAAUUGCAGAAUUCAGUGAAUCAUCGAAUCUUUGAACGCACAUUGCGCCCGCCAGUAUUCUGGCGGGCAUGCCUGUUCGAGCGUCAUUUCAACCAUCAAGCCCCGGGCUUGUGUUGGGGACCUGCGGCUGCCGCAGGCCCUGAAAAGCAGUGGCGGGCUCGCUGUCACACCGAGCGUAGUAGCAUACAUCUCGCUCUGGGCGUGCUGCGGGUUCCGGCCGUUAAACCACCUUUUAACCCAAGGUUGACCUCGGAUCGGGUAGGAAGACCCGCUGAACUUAAGCAUAUCAAUAAGCGGAGGA